Molecule: long non-coding RNA, 1174 nt
Organism: Oncorhynchus tshawytscha (Chinook salmon)
Lineage: Eukaryota; Metazoa; Chordata; Actinopteri; Salmoniformes; Salmonidae
Source: Ensembl
UUUUGGUUGAGGGGGUAUAGAGAUGCCAGACGAGAGCUUGACCUGACUAGAUGUUUUGGUUCGAGGGGGUAUAGAGACGCCAGACGAGAGCUUGACCUGACUAGAUGUUUUGGUUCGAGGGGGUAUAGAGACGCCAGGCGAGAGCUUGACCUGACUAGAUAUGUUUUGGUUCGAGGGGGUAUAGAGACGCCAGGCGAGAGCUUGACCUGACUAGAUGUUUUGGUUCGAGGGGGUAUAGAGACGCCAGACGAGAGCUUGACCUGACUAGAUGUUUUGGUUCGAGGGGGUAUAGAGACGCCAGACGAGAGCUUGACCUGACUAGAUGUUUUGGUUCGAGGGGGUAUAGAGACGCCAGACAAGAGCUUGACCUGACUAGAUGUUUUGGUUCGAGGGGGUAUAGAGACGCCAGACGAGAGCUUGACCUGACUGUAGAUGUUUUGGUUCGAGGGGGUAUAGAGACGCCAGACGAGAGCUUGACCUGACUGUAGAUGUUUUGGUUCGAGGGGGUAUAGAGACGCCAGACGAGAGCUUGACCUGACUAGAUGUUUUGGUUCGAGGGGGUAUAGAGACGCCAGACGAGAGCUUGACCUGACUAGAUGUUUUGGUUCGAGGGGGUAUAGAGACGCCAGACGAGAGCUUGACCUGACUGUAGAUGUUUUGGUUCGAGGGGGUAUAGAGACGCCAGAUGAGAGCUUGACCUGACUAGAUGUUUUGGUUCGAGGGGGUAUAGAGACGCCAGACGAGAGCUUGACCUGACUGUAGAUGUUUUGGUUCGAGGGGGUAUAGAGACGCCAGACGAGAGCUUGACCUGACUAGAUGUUUUGGUUCGAGGGGGUAUAGAGACGCCAGACGAGAGCUUGACCUGACUAGAUGUUUUGGUUCGAGGGGGUAUAGAGACGCCAGACGGGAGCUUGACCUGACUAGAUGUUUUGGUUCGAGGGGGUAUAGAGACGCCAGGCGAGAGCUUGACCUGACUGUAGAUGUUUUGGUUCGAGGGGGUAUAGAGACGCCAGACGAGAGCUUGACCUGACUAGAUGUUUUGGUUCGAGGGGGUAUAGAGACGCCAGACGAGAGCUUGACCUGACUAGAUGUUUUGGUUCGAGGGGGUAUAGAGACGCCAGACGAGAGCUUGACCUGACUGUAGAUGUUUUGGUUCGAGGGGGUAUAGAGACGC